UACGUAGGGUGCGAGCGUUAAUCGGAAUUACUGGGCGUAAAGCGUGCGCAGGCGGUUUUGUAAGUCAGAUGUGAAAUCCCCGGGCUUAACCUGGGGAACUGCGUUUGAAACUACAAGGCUAGAGUGUGGCAGAGGGGGGUGGAAUUCCACGGUGUAGCAGUGAAAUGCGUAGAGAUGUGGAGGAACACCGAUGGCGGAAGGCAGCCCCCUGGGUUAACACUGACGCUCAGGCACGAAAGCGUGGGGAGCAAACAGG
This 256-nucleotide ribosomal RNA is filed under the name uncultured bacterium. RNAcentral describes it as "partial 16S ribosomal RNA". It matches the Rfam family "Bacterial small subunit ribosomal RNA", at positions 524 to 776 of the family's 1533-position model. The record is from RNAcentral.